RNAcentral lists this ribosomal RNA (304 nucleotides) under uncultured bacterium. RNAcentral describes it as "bacterial SSU rRNA". It matches the Rfam family "Bacterial small subunit ribosomal RNA", at positions 30 to 334 of the family's 1533-position model. The record is from RNAcentral.
AUUGAACGCUGGCGGCAUGCCUUACACAUGCAAGUCGAACGGCAGCACGGGAGCAAUCCUGGUGGCGAGUGGCGAACGGGUGAGUAAUAUAUCGGAACGUGCCCAGUCGUGGGGGAUAACGUAGCGAAAGCUACGCUAAUACCGCAUACGAUCUAUGGAUGAAAGCGGGGGAUCGCAAGACCUCGCGCGAUUGGAGCGGCCGAUAUCAGAUUAGGUAGUUGGUGAGGUAAAGGCUCACCAAGCCGACGAUCUGUAGCUGGUCUGAGAGGACGACCAGCCACACUGGGACUGAGACACGGCCCAG